RNAcentral lists this transfer RNA (76 nucleotides) under Phytopseudomonas flavescens. Its description in RNAcentral is "tRNA-Thr". The record is from RNAcentral. Lineage: Bacteria; Pseudomonadati; Pseudomonadota; Gammaproteobacteria; Pseudomonadales; Pseudomonadaceae. RNAcentral also lists the same sequence under 2 other names.
AGCGGGAUGGAGCAGUCCGGUAGCUCGUCGGGCUCGUCGCCCGAAAGUCGCUGGUUAACUCCAGCACCCGCAUCCA